GUCCACGCCCUAACUAUGUCGACUAGUUGUUGGGAGUCUGUCCCUCAGUAACGUAGCUAACGCGUGAAGUCGACCGCCUGGGGAGUACGGUCGCAAGAUUAAACUCAAAGGAAUUGACGGGACCCGCACAAGCGGUGGAUUAUGUGGAUUAAUUCGAUGCAACGCGAAGAACCUUACCUACCCUUGACAUGCCAGGAACUCCGCAGAGAUGUGGAGGUGCCCGAAAGGGAACCUGGACACAGGUGCUGCAUGGCUGUCGU
RNAcentral lists this ribosomal RNA (260 nucleotides) under uncultured bacterium. Its description in RNAcentral is "partial 16S ribosomal RNA". It matches the Rfam family "Bacterial small subunit ribosomal RNA", at positions 793 to 1055 of the family's 1533-position model. The record is from RNAcentral.